CUUCACCAGACCAUUUCGAGGCAAGCAUGGAGGCUUGGGGUCGCCGUUGAUGCCUGGGCUCGACAUCUUCCUCGCACGCUCUGCAGACAGGGGCCAGGAGCAGGGAAUGAGAGAGCAGAAGUGGAUGGCUCCCUUUGUCUCUUGCCCACUGUCAGUACCUUCUGAGGCAGAGGUGGAGGACUGAAGAAAGAGGGUUGGGGCAGUCUCUGGGCCCUCCCCUACAGGGUGCCAAUAUAGUUCUCUGAAGCGGCUCUAGUGCCCUGUCUGAGACUCAAACAUCAGCUUCCAAGACUCUCAACACCCACAGGAGGUUCUGUGGCUCAGCAGUUGCCCAAAGAAAGGACAGGUUUCUUCCCAGGGUGCCAGCAUGGUAAGCCCUAUAUACAUAUUGUCUCUUUAAUCCUCUGUCUAACCAGUGAGGACAAUACUGUAAUGACAACCCAUCAUACAGAAGGAGAAGCUGAGGCUAGUGAAUUGCUUGCCUGGGGUCAUGGCCACUUUAGUGGAUUGAAGCUGGCUGAGGAAUCACAUGGAUCAUCCUCCCCUGGGGUGGGACUGAGACCACCCUGGGAGUGCCCAUUGUCCCUCAUCCCACAGUCCCCCUUCCCAGGUCUCCCAGUCUGUUAGUAGUGGCAGAGAGCACUGGGCACAGACAGCCAUGGAGGGAAGGGAUGGGUGCCCACAGUGCCACCAUCCCAGUUCUUGUGCCCACUGCCAUCCCCAUCUCCACCACCUGGGAGUCUCACCCCUACGAGUUCUGGAGUCAUAAACCCUGAACUUGACCCAGGACCUGCCCUGGCUGUGUGGUCUUGGCAAACCACUUCCCUUCUCUAAGCCUCAGUUUCACCUGGAAGCCUGAGGAGGUGACAGUGUCUGCUCCUUCAGCUGCACACUGUGCAUGACUCACUGACAGGUAUUGGAAGAGAACAGGGGAGGGCACUUCUGAGAUGGCCAGACCUGGGAACUAUUAUCUUUGGUCUGUAGGUGACCUUGGGACUGAGUCUGGAGCCUACAUACAGGUCCUACCUUCCUACCCCAGUCUUUUGGGGUGGGCUGUGGAAUUUACAGACCCCCAGGAAGAGAAUGGCCCAUGUCUCCUUCUUUGCUGAGUCCCACUUCUGGAGCUACAGGGCUGAGAAAGCUAGCAGCUCACUUCCAUAAUCUGGCCAGACUUGAGGGGAAGAGGAUGGGAGCCCCUGGGAGAGAGGAAGGAAAACGGGAAGGAAUUCCCGGCUCUCCCCAGCACCACACCCCCACUGUCUUCUGAGCUCCAGACAGGACAAGUCUUGCCAGCAUUCCACAUCUGGGGAGGGGCUGCAGCCCAGGGCUGGGACACUUCUGUUGCCUGAGCAGUUCCCAGUUCACAGGGUAGGGAAGGGGGAUCAUCGUGGAAUAGCAAUGCCCCUGAAGGCAUUGCUAGUGGCCCCAGGAAGGCCAGGCCGUCCUUGUUACCAGAGCGAUUUCACCACCCAGGACGCGGGCCCACCGGCCUACGCCGUUCCCCUAGGCCUGCUCGGGCGGCACCAGCACCAUGGACAGCAGCCGCGCGCGCUCGGGGGUGGGCCGGCUCAACUGCGGACUGCUACAGGUCAGGGUGGGUGUGGGGACGCCCCACAAACCCAGCUCAGUAGGGAGGGGCCCCGGAGGCGGGAGGCGGGGAGUAGAGAAGCCACCCCCCCCUCCCCCGCCACCGCUGGGAUCCGGAGGAGGAGGCGAAGGCGGCGCCCGGGGAGAAAUAAUCCAAGAGUGGUGCUGAUUUAGGUUGAAAACGCUCCUAGCCAAGAGUGUGCACGUGGAGCACCCGCGUUGGGGGAUGCACGUGGAUGCCCUGGUCCUCUGCCGGGCCUUCUUCCUGCCUCCCACUGUGUCACCUCUGCCAGCGCCCACAGACCCAUCCCUGUCCUCCAGGCUUCAGGGUUGGGCUUUGAAAAACAAGUCAGCCUUUGAAAGCCAGCAAUAGGAGAGGUCCCGCAGAAGAAGGGGACAGGAUGGGAGCCCACCGCCCCUCAUCUAACACGCCCAUUUGUGGCCAGAAGGCACUGCUCACUUGCUGGUCACCCCCACCCACGCCCUUGGGCGAAGCAAUGUCCACACAGAGGCAGCCCUGCUGGUCCCCUGUCCUGCUGGGCUCCAGCUGCUCCUCACACUCCUAGCCUGACUAACCCAGCCUGAUUAUUUCCCAAGCCCAGGUCAGAAAUGGAAACAGCCACAUCUUGGCCCAGGCAUUGCUUAGGGAAAAAGCUGAGCUCAUAGGGGCAAGAGGUCCCUGAGGGGCUCAGACAGGCCCCUCCACCUGGCAUUGGGCACACCUGCCCAGCCAGGCUCCAAGGUGCUGGUUCUGCUGGCAAGCAGAGUCCAUCCCUUCCUUGGUACCUGUGACUGCCCUAGUUCCACCCAGUGGGGCUCAGAAGGACCUGAUUGAAGUUUCUUACUAGGAGUGGGCAGGGACAACUGUCAGGCUGCUUGGCACUACCUCUCCCUUUAGGGACAAGCACCUCAGGAACUAACACUGGGGAAAGAGGCUUUAAAAAAGAUGGCCAAGAGUGCACUGUUC
Molecule: long non-coding RNA, 2554 nt
Organism: Otolemur garnettii (small-eared galago)
Lineage: Eukaryota; Metazoa; Chordata; Mammalia; Primates; Galagidae
Exons: 2
Source: RefSeq, a predicted model, not a curated record